UGGGGUAUAACUCAGUUGGUAGAGUGCUUGCCUCUCAAGCACAUUGCCCUGGGUUCGAUCCCCAGCACCGCAA
Sciurus carolinensis (gray squirrel) is the source of this 73-nucleotide non-coding RNA. Lineage: Eukaryota; Metazoa; Chordata; Mammalia; Rodentia; Sciuridae. The record is from the annotation of a RefSeq genome assembly.